UACGAAGGGGGCUAGCGUCGCUCGGAAUCACUGGGCGUAAAGGGUGCGUAGGCGGGCCUUUAAGUCAGGGGUGAAAUCCUGGAGCUCAACUCCAGAACUGCCUUUGAUACUGAAGAUCUUGAGUUCGGGAGAGGUGAGUGGAACUGCGAGUGUAGAGGUGAAAUUCGUAGAUAUUCGCAAGAACACCAGUGGCGAAGGCGGCUCACUGGCCCGAUACUGACGCUGAGGCACGAAAGCGUGGGGAGCAAACAGG
Molecule: ribosomal RNA, 253 nt
Filed under: uncultured bacterium
Lineage: Bacteria
Description: partial 16S ribosomal RNA
Rfam family: Bacterial small subunit ribosomal RNA
Source: RNAcentral